This 1769-nucleotide long non-coding RNA is filed under the name Arabidopsis lyrata. Its description in RNAcentral is "long non-coding RNA (ALYR_LNC003139)". Lineage: Eukaryota; Viridiplantae; Streptophyta; Magnoliopsida; Brassicales; Brassicaceae. The record is from RNAcentral.
GUGUAGAAAGUCCUCCAUGUUUUGGGAAGCCAAAAAGGAGUGUUUUUUUUUAGCCAAAAUGAAGUUGUUGAGCCGUUCGCAUGUGCUUAUGAAGCUUAGCGACGACCAUGCGGCGCCACAAGGUUCAUCACCGAACUCAGCAGAUCAACCAUUUCUUCUUCUAGCUCUUUCCGCUGCUCUGAUCUUUCCUUUGAAAAUAAAAUUUGGAAUAUGUUGCAAACUAGUACAUUUAUAAAACAUAAUAGGAUAACUAGUACAGGUCCUAUUCAAUACUCAAGAAAUAGUCGGGUCUCCACUGCUAUACAAAUACGCGUUCUUUCUGAUAGAAAAAGAGUGGGGCCUUGAGGUUGUUGUGGAAAUUACGUCUGAGGGCUUCCUUCUUUUUACAGGGAAAUGACGAAGCCUCUAGACGAGAUGGCGUGUUUUGUUUGUUGGACACAUGGGCCAACUGUGAUUAACAGGUUUUAGAUAGUUUUAAAUGGGCCUUAAAAUUCUUCCCCAAUUUGUCUCCAAAAUUAAAUAGUACCCGAAGUCAAUUAUCAAACAAGUCGUCUUCAUCAGUGGCGGCGUUGGAGCAGUCAGAAACCCCUGCAUUAAUGAGAAGUUUAUGUCAACGAAAUUAGUUGCUAGGUUGGUGUGAGAAAUCAUAUAAUACUCAGAUUCUCUUUAGAUUUUUUUCGAAAGUAGGCAAAUUAUUUGGAGGGAAAUUUAUUUUGCCUUUUUUGAUGGAAAUUUUAUUAUAAGAUAAAAAGAAGAAGAUGAUUGUCAGUUUCGGUAGGUUUUCUAAGUUCCUGAGGACGUACAGAUCAGAGAACAAAGAAUGGAAGGUGGAAUUCAGUACUGAAACAAAUUUCCAAAUUUUCCAUUAAUGUUUCCUACUGUACUGGCCUAGAAACUGAUUCUAAUUGAAUUUCCUUUGCAGUUGAUGAUAUUGUUGUUGUACAGGCUGGAAGAUGGAUCUUGUUUAGCACAGGUGAAUGGGAGUUCAAGAUGGAUUCUUAUCGGCAGGGGAGGGCGUUGAGUUUGAUGGGGUUAAAAACUUUCAGGGAUUUGGAGCUUAAAGUGAGGCAACUGUACAGAAUGGAGAGCAGCUCAAUAUCAGUAGAGCUUAGCUACAUGUUUGAGGACAAUUUAGCCCUGUUAGCUGGUGCUCAGCCGGGCCCAACGAUGAUUCGGUGUGAUAGGCAGUUUCGAAGCUUUAAAUCUUUAAGCAUUGAUGAUAAAUAUGUGAACCUGUUCGUGUGUUUUAGAGAAGACGAUGGAGUCUUAGUCGGGCCUACCUAUGAAGCUCGGAGGAUCGGGAGUUGUUUUGCCAUGGGUAGGCAAGCUGGAGAAUCAUCUGCAGGUAUUGUAGAGGCUGGAGGUAGUUCAAGAGCGACAGAGGGAGUAGGAUUUUUUGCUGGACUCUUAUCUUCAGUUCAAGACAAUAACAGUAUGUAUCCUCCAGUUCAAGGCAAUAACUCCCAGUUAGCAAUCGCCCAGAGUACAGAUGUUACUGACAGCUCCGGUGGGUGGGACAUAAGCGAUGAAAUACUGUUAGAAGCCGUAGAAGCUGUGGAGAAGGCGUCUAAAACAGAUUUGGUUGUUUACACAGGUCUAACCACAUCUGUAGCAGUGGAAGAUGGAAUGGAGAGCAGUGGGGAUGAAGAGUGUUCAGAAAACUCCGAUGAUUCUUAUUCUUACAGUGGAGGGAGUCAAUCAGAAGAUGAUGAUUACGAUUACGAGUACAACACGGUAGGUAGGGUUGAAGCUGGUAGAGAAAUUGUGGC